GAGACCUCAGGUCAGGCGGGGCUAC
RNAcentral lists this non-coding RNA (25 nucleotides) under Phaseolus lunatus (lima bean). RNAcentral also lists the same sequence under 98 other names. The record is from RNAcentral. Lineage: Eukaryota; Viridiplantae; Streptophyta; Magnoliopsida; Fabales; Fabaceae.